Molecule: transfer RNA, 73 nt
Filed under: Camelus dromedarius (Arabian camel)
Lineage: Eukaryota; Metazoa; Chordata; Mammalia; Artiodactyla; Camelidae
Also listed under: 1 other name
Rfam family: tRNA
About the family: Transfer RNA (tRNA) molecules are approximately 80 nucleotides in length. Their secondary structure includes four short double-helical elements and three loops (D, anti-codon, and T loops). Further hydrogen bonds mediate the characteristic L-shaped molecular structure. tRNAs have two regions of fundamental functional importance: the anti-codon, which is responsible for specific mRNA codon recognition, and the 3' end, to which the tRNAs corresponding amino acid is attached (by aminoacyl-tRNA synthetases). tRNAs cope with the degeneracy of the genetic code in two manners: having more than one tRNA (with a specific anti-codon) for a particular amino acid; and 'wobble' base-pairing, i.e. permitting non-standard base-pairing at the 3rd anti-codon position.
Source: Rfam by way of RNAcentral
GGGGGUAUAGCUCAGUGGUAGAGUGCAUGCUUAGCAUGUACAGGGUCCUGGGUUCAAUCCCCCAUUACCUCCA